RNAcentral lists this ribosomal RNA (247 nucleotides) under uncultured bacterium. Its description in RNAcentral is "partial 16S ribosomal RNA". It matches the Rfam family "Bacterial small subunit ribosomal RNA", at positions 526 to 779 of the family's 1533-position model. The record is from RNAcentral.
CGUAGGUGGCAAGCGUUGUCCGGAAUUAUUGGGCGUAAGCGCGCGCAGGUGGUUCUUAAGUCUGAUGUGAAGCCCACGGCUCAACCGUGGAGGUCAUUGGAACUGGGAACUUGAGUGCAGAAGAGGAAGUGGAAUUCCAAGUGUAGCGGUGAAAUGCGUAGAGAUUUGGAGGAACACCAGUGGCGAAGGCGACUUUCUGGUCUGUAACUGACACUGAGGCGCGAAAGCGUGGGGAGCGAACAGGAUU